This is a long non-coding RNA of Myotis myotis, 5472 nucleotides long. RefSeq lists it as uncharacterized. The transcript has 2 exons. The record is from RefSeq and is a predicted model, not a curated record. NCBI's taxonomy places the organism in Eukaryota, Metazoa, Chordata, Mammalia, Chiroptera, Vespertilionidae.
ACAGCGCAGCUGCACGUUCGGGGCGACACGGGGAGGGCAAGGACAAAAUCAGUCUAAUUCAGCUAAAAAUCUCCAACAGGGCCCUGGCCAGUGGCUCAGUUUUCUACAGUGUCGUCCCCACAGGCCACGGUUGCGGGUUCCGUCCCCAGUCCGGGCUCAGGGCGCAUACAAGAAUCCACCAUGAAAGCAUGAAUAAGUGGAACAAACAAUUCUCUCUCUUCCUCUAUAAGACCAAUAAAUAAAAAUUUAAAUCUCAAAGUAGGACCCGACAUCGAAUGGUUCCAAACUGCCCGUGUGGAGAUUUUCUUAGCUGUCCACGGCACUUCCCCGCACCUUCCUCACAGGAGUGCCCAUCAGCAACCUCCCCUCCACCUGGGACCCUCCCGCUCGCCGUAUGGAGUGGAACAGGCUGCUUCUUCCUGGGGAUGAAAAGUCACAGCUGCUGACUAUGGAGGGGUGACGACCACAAGGGGCAAAUCUGUGAGUCCAUCUGCACAAGGUCAGUGGGUGAAAGGAAGAGGGUUUGAAGCGCUGCAGGCCCGGGAGGAGCUGUGAACAAGACGCUAGAGAAACAGCCCUGCAGGGGAAUCUCUUUUUGCAAAGAUCAAGACUCCAGAGCAAGGAGGAGGGCCGAGUGGCAAGAGCAGCCGCGAUGCACGGGACUGAGGUGUGAGCAGGAGAUGAGGGAGGGGCGGGUGGAGGUCAGACCUUCCCGCAGGAAGUCUGACUGUGCAGGGAAAGAGGGCCCCAGCUAGGCAGGCAGAGGGAGCAGAAGAUGCAGUGUUGUUAUUAUUACGAAGGCAGGAAAGUCAGAGCAGGGAACAAAGGCCUCGAGCUCUGCCCUCCCCUCUCCUUCUCGGCUGGAACAUCACAGACACGACCUCCGCUGCCCCCGGCCCACCGCUCCCCCUCCUCGAUUUCCUGUGACUGAGGGCACACACACAACAAGGAAAGGAACCGAUGUCUGCAGAGAGGGACCAGGACCAGGGCACAGGCAGUGGCCCUACACACGUCAGAGGCAGAGGACCGCCCCAGGCGCCCCCUUGCCCACAUUUAAUAGAGACCUCCCACCCAGACCCGAGGCCGCCUGCUCACUGCUCGCGGGCACUGGCGUUACUGAGCCCCCUGAGCUUUGCUAGAUCUGUCUGCCCCUGAAUUCCUUCUCGGGCCGUGACAGGGACUGGGAUGGGGCUGAGGCCGCCCUCGGCCGCCCGGCACCACUGCCAAUUACCAUCAUUACUUUAACGUGGAAGAGGCUCCGGUGCUUUAAAUGCCGCGAGGGAAGAACCUGUGGGGACAGGUGAAGGGUCCGGCUGCGAGAGCAGCGUCCCUGCGGAGGGCAGGCCAGGGGACCUUCCGGCCAGCCUGGGGGAAGGCGCUGCACGGCUGUGGAUGCCUGUGAUUUUAGGAGGACGGACGGCUGCUGUGGCCCAGUUUCUCCGGGGAUGUAAGAGGUGAGGGGGUUUGCCGAAAGGGGCAGGGAGGGGAUGAAGUGGGUGUCUUGGUAACUGCCCGCCUGAAACAGCCCUGAGGGCUGUGGGACAGGGAUUGAUCGGGACGUGGGAGGGUCUAGGCAGCGUGGAGGAGCCCAGUGAGCUGAGGGACCUUGAAACCUUUGUGCUAGGAAUCCCGGGCUGUGUGAACUUCCCACCCACAGUGGGUGGGACCGAGAGGGUGGAGGCCCGGGUUUAAUCAGGCAGGAGAGAAGGCGAGGGCUGACGGUCUGCCAGGAAUGGAGUUGAAAUGAUAGUGGGUCUGGCGUUAGCGGAGGAAAGGGAACAGGAGAGAGAAGAUGGGAGGAAAGGGAGGAGUCCAAAGUCCCCGGGGCUGACGGAGGGCAGAGAGAUACGGAGGGUGGACGAGUGGUUUCAGGUGGCAGAGGUGGCGACAUGCUGGGAGGAGCUGGGGGUGCAGGCAGACAGGUCACAGGGUGGCAGAACUGGUACCCGGGGAGCCGGCAGGGUGCGGCCCGCCCCUGCAGUGUGGGGUGGAGACGCUGACCAGGCCUCCCUGUGGGGGGAGGGGGAGGAACUGCGGCCCUGGGAACAAGCCAGGUAUCAGGCGGGUCCCCGCGAAGGCGAGAGCAGGGAAAGGAGGCUGGAAGGUGGAAGAGCAAAGGUCCCGGAGGCCCGGACGGGAGGACCCGUGGAGGAGGACACGGCGUCAGCUGGAAUGAACCGGAAGGGCGGCAUUUACGGGGGUUUAUGGAGAGAUCUAAGGCAGCCCGUGCUGUAGGCAAGCGGCCUCCAGCCUGGCAAUUCUAUUAGGGACCCUGGAGCUGAGCGGGGAGAGGCUGCGCCCCAGUCCCUUAGCGCCUGAACAGGACAGGAAGCCCCCGAGGGCCUCUGGACGGCGCCCAAAGAGGGUGACACAGCCAGCGAGUUUCGAAACGGCGCUGGCAUUUCUUCACCUUUUCUAUGGCCUCUGCGAGCUCCUUGUGUAAACAUGUCAGACAGGUGACUUUAGGCAGCCUCUUGUCCGUCCUCAGCACCACCCACCCGGUCACGGGGCACGACUGGUGCCUGGUGACCUUUGUGUCCCACAGGACUUGGGACCUGACCGGGGUCAGCCGCGCCGAGCCCUCUGCCCCGGCUGGGGGUGGGGUGGCCGCUUCCAUGCUCAGACCAUGUCCUGCCCACACUCUGCCUCCACCUCCUCCUCGGCAAGUUUCUUUCCUUGUUUCAGUUGCAAAUGAUGAGUGUGCAUGACUUAGAAACUUGGGGAAAUUGUUUUUAAGAAAGAAAGAAAAAGGCCCUGGCUGGGUAGCUCAGUUGGUUAGAGCAUCAUCCAGAUGCACCAAGGUUGUGGGUUCCAUCCCUGGUCAGGGCACAUACAAGAAUCAACCAAUGAAUGCAUAAAUAAGAGGAACAACCCCAUGUUUUUUUCUCUCUCCCCCCCCCCUCUAUAUAUAUACAUACACAUAUAUAUGUUUUAAAUUAUUUAAAAACAAGGGAAGAAAAAUUCAGGUUGUAACGUACUCAGUAAGCUAGCGACAGGCCAGGAGACUGCUGCCUGCCCCGAGGGCUGAUGCUCAGGCUCAGCUUCUCCCUUUCUGGCGCCCUUCAGAGCGGCGCUGUGUGCCUCUGGGUGCGUCACAGCGGAGCGAUCAAUCGAUUGCUCGCUCUGCCUCAUUAACGGCCGGCUGGCCGGCUGGCCUGGUCCCUGCGCUACCACAUUCCCCACGCGCUUUCGCCUAACGAGCCCAGCAGCUGGUGAUCAGGCUCCUGGCCUGGAUUUAUUAUUUCACCAGGGCUUCCGAAGAGGCGACUUUCAAAUGCAAUGACUUCUCCUGCAUUUAGUCACCGUGUUCUCCUCUGACGAGCUUUCCCCCAUCAAUCAUGUGGUUUCCCUGAAGCACAAUCCAAACAGAAAAAGGCCGGAUAAAUGCAAGGGAAGGAGGCCGCAAGUGUGAGCAAGGCAACCAGGAGGGAACAACUAGUCAGGUCCAGACUCCACUGAAUUCUACACGACAGAUGACUGAUUCUCCAAUAAGUGGCAUUUUUUUUUAUAAAAAGAAAGAAAACCGGAAGACAGACUGUUAGAGGUGAACAGAGACUUGGGAUGUGUGAUCCGGGUGCAAUGUGUGAACUUCGGGGGCCUGACUUGAGCUGCCAGUUGUGAACACGCGGCUUGUUUAUUUGUUUCUGAGGCAACUGGGGGCGUGAACAUGGACAAGUGAUUGCCAAGACUUCUGGUGUCGGGCUGAAGGUCAGAGAAGGAAUGCCGGUAACCAAGUCAUCAGAGCUUUGAUCGGCUUUGGGUUUGUUUCUUGAAGACAAGAACCUUGACGGUGUAUGCUUGCCGCUCCACACCUAGGUUAGAUUACCAGUUUAUAACGAAAGGAGAUAACUCAGGAACAGGCCCAUGGAAGAGUGCACAGGGCAAGGUGUGUGGGAAGGGGCGGGGGGCGUCCAUGCCCUCUGAGGGCACCGUCUCCCCCCCACACACCACCACGUCUGCCAACCCAGAAGCAACUCAUUAACGUUCUAGAAGUUACGAUUCUUUGUUAGCGGAUAUUGCACCAUGAAUCUUCAAUCUGAAAACUCCAGUUACACAUGAUUUGAACUAUGGCCUCAAAAGGUUCUAGCAUGUGGGGAUGACAAAUGUUACACUAAUCUCAGCGAAAUGGAUUUCACAGUAACCAGAUAAAAGGAUUAUCUUUCUCUGUCUUUAAAAGUUUUCCAAUCAGAGGAAAAUGUAUUCAGAGAAGAAUCAUCCAUGGAUGCUAAAGGCACUGCGUACAAGUUUGAUGUGUCCAAUGCAGCAUAUGGGACACGAUGAAAUAUUUAUUGAAUGGAUGCAGAAGAGAGUGAACACCAAAUCCAUCUCCCCCGACACUCAGCUUGGCAUACAGAGAACCCCAACCACACCUUACUGCCUACAUUACAGUGACUUUGUGGUCUGCUGUCUUCCCUGGCAUUUCUUUACUCUUCCUCAACCGCCCAGGCCAGGCAAAUGGUUUGAGUAUCAACAGCCAGUUUGCCCACCGAGAUUCUUUGAAUUCCCUCCCCUGUUUCCACCAAUUUUGGACUGUUGUGCAUUCUUACCCAGUCCUAAUCAAGACUCUGAACUGAAAAACUGGCCUUAAACCAAGCUUCCAAUUCUCAAAAAAUCCUGGUCUUACCUUCUCCUCUCUGAGACACUGCCCAAGUGUUGCCGAGUACUGUUCUCCUUGCCCGAGGAAGCAAGAAACUCGGCUUUGUUGUGUUGGUGAACUUCUGAGCCAGUUUUUGCAAGAGGAAUACAAUCUAAACACAGUAGCCAAAAUAAAUAUUUUAAUGCCUGGGAGCAUUAAAAACAGCUUCAGUAACAGUGCCUUCCCCAAGUAUAUCAGAGCUUGAGAUCAAAGGACCAAUCAGUAAUCAUGAACUUGUAUUUAUUUAGAAUUUUGAUGGUCUGUUCAUUGUACAUUUUCUUGCAUUAAUUUUGAUUUUUUAAAAUGUUCUACUAAAACAGUUAAUCUUAAUUUUUUGGUACUUCCUUACAUUUUGUGUUGGGGGUGAAUGAUUCACUCGUUGUACCCUAUUCCCAGGGCUGGAAGGAACAAAGCAUUAAAUUUAUAGUUUUGUGGACAGAAAAAAAAAGGUCCUAUGGAAAGUAAUUUCACAGGGUUCUGAUCAUAAAUUCCUAAAUGGGCAGGUCAUUGUCAGGUUGGAGGGAGCCCAGGAUCAGAUGCAUGCAGAUGGGUGACGAGAUAAGGGACCCUCCCUGAAUUUCUAACAGAUCAGCCUGCCAGACACAGAUACUGACUCCUUCCUGAAUACCCUGCCCACCCCUGCGGCGGGAGCUUCCUCUGCCGAAUACCGUGAUGACCCCCACAGGGGGAGCUUCCUCAGCUCAAGCCGCUGCCCUCAUUAAGCACCUGUAUAAAAAGAAGCCCCCCUUCCCUGUUGGCGUGAAUCCACUGGCCCUGUCUUUGGGGUUCGUGGGUCGCCCGGGGACGCAGAUUAAAACCUUUCCUUUUCUUUCUUU